Molecule: ribosomal RNA, 336 nt
Filed under: uncultured bacterium
Lineage: Bacteria
Description: bacterial SSU rRNA
Rfam family: Bacterial small subunit ribosomal RNA
Source: RNAcentral
CAUGGCUCAGGACGAACGCUGGCGGCGUGCCUAAUACAUGCAAGUAGAACGCUGAAGGAAGGAGCUUGCUCUUUCCGGAUGAGUUGCGAACGGGUGAGUAACGCGUAGGUAACCUGCCUGGUAGCGGGGGAUAACUAUUGGAAACGAUAGCUAAUACCGCAUAACAGUAGAUAUCGCAUGAUAGCUGCUUAAAAGGUGCAAUUGCACCACUACCAGAUGGACCUGCGUUGUAUUAGCUAGUUGGUGAGGUAACGGCUCACCAAGGCAACGAUACAUAGCCGACCUGAGAGGGUGAUCGGCCACACUGGGACUGAGACACGGCCCAGACUCCUACGG